GCGGUGGCCCGACCGCGUCCGAGUCCCCCAUGAUGUUUCACACAGACGGGAAGUGGAGAGGAGUUCACUUCAGCAGUUUACUCCGGGUAGUGGCAUGUCUGUUGAUGUGGUGGCACAGUGGCCUGGAAGACAGGGAAGUGCAGGAGCGAAGCCAAAACAAACAGCCCGCCUUGAGAGCACGUAGACUUGGAGGAGGGAGUGUCUCCGUGGAGCCACAUGAGGGAGGCUGUUCCACUGAGGAGACAAGUCGACGUCCCACGGUGUCCACAACCUUUUCAUCGGCCCGGUGUAUGAGCCAGUAGAGGGUGUCCAAGGCCUAACUCCUGCUUCUGCCUUUUGAUCCUGCCAGAAGCUCGGCCUCGGAAUCAGAUGGUCGUCUUGUCUUCGCUGCCACAGAAGAACAGCACUGUUGGAGCUGAGUGUGGGAGACAGUCCAACAUUUCACUAAAUACAGACGGCAGUUUGAAAGGGCUGUGCUCCUCAGUUUGCCUUUGGUUAGUAAGAGAUGCAGCGAUCUGCCAUUUAUACAGAACACAGA
This is a long non-coding RNA of Pleuronectes platessa (European plaice), 538 nucleotides long. RefSeq lists it as uncharacterized. The transcript has 3 exons. Lineage: Eukaryota; Metazoa; Chordata; Actinopteri; Pleuronectiformes; Pleuronectidae. The record is from RefSeq and is a predicted model, not a curated record.